GUAGGUGGCAAGCGUUGUCCGGAAUUAUUGGGCGUAAAGCGCGCGCAGGUGGUUCUUUAAGUCUGAUGUGAAAGACCCCCGGGCUCAACCGGGGAGGGUCAUUUGAAACUGGGGAACUUGAGUGCAGGAGAGGAAAGUGGAAUUCCACGUGUAGCGGUGAAAUGCGUAGAUAUGUGGAGGAACACCAGUGGCGAAGGCGACUUUCUGGCCUGUAACUGACACUGAGGCGCGAAAGCGUGGGGAGCAAACAGGAUUAGAUACCCUGGUAGUCCACGCCGUAAACGAUGAGUGCUAAGUGUUGGGGGGUUUCCGCCCCUCAGUGCUGCAGCUAACGCAUUAAGCACUCCGCCUGGGGAGUACGGUCGCAAAGACUG
This 374-nucleotide ribosomal RNA is filed under the name uncultured organism. Its description in RNAcentral is "partial 16S ribosomal RNA". It matches the Rfam family "Bacterial small subunit ribosomal RNA", at positions 527 to 896 of the family's 1533-position model. The record is from RNAcentral.